UCAAAACUAGAUGCUAUAAUAGGCUUUGAAGAUUUUGGUGGUUCGAGAUGUGUGCCCAUAGGUUUAUGAAAUUCAUAGAUAGACAUGUUUGAAUUCAUAAUAGACCAGAGAUCAAGGAUUAGAUAAGAAGAAAGAAUAGCAGAGAUGAGGCAAAGGAUAAAAGGAAAAUAUUUUUUUAUUUAUUUAUUUUUUAUAAAAUGAUUAAACUAGUUCGUAGUCAACUCAGCAACCGUUUCCCCGGCAACGGCGCCAAAAAUGCUUGUUGACACUUGCUAACACCACUUGAAUACUAGGUUGUCAUCCCCAGCGUGGCACUAGAGUGUACUAUGGUAUUUAUACGCACACAGAUAAUCCGCAAGCGCACGGAUACCGUUGAAGCUUUUACCCGGUUACAGGUUUUAUCGUAUCCACAGGGAAACGGGAGAACUGAUCUACGCUCUAACUUAACCA
RNAcentral lists this long non-coding RNA (450 nucleotides) under Sorghum bicolor (sorghum). RNAcentral describes it as "long non-coding RNA (SBIC_LNC006442)". Lineage: Eukaryota; Viridiplantae; Streptophyta; Magnoliopsida; Poales; Poaceae. The record is from RNAcentral.